Molecule: long non-coding RNA, 493 nt
Organism: Mytilus trossulus (common blue mussel)
Lineage: Eukaryota; Metazoa; Mollusca; Bivalvia; Mytilida; Mytilidae
Exons: 4
Source: RefSeq, a predicted model, not a curated record
CUCAGGUUUCCACAUCCGCUGCAUGUUUUCUGCAUCCUCUACAUUUCGCAGUUACUGAGUUAGUUUGUACAUUAUUGAAGAAACAGUUUUAUCGUCAUUCAUCCAUCGUUCUUUAGAUAAUUAGCAUUGGAGAAUUAGCACUUGACUGGUCUUAUGGUCACAGUUGGUUGCAUCCUGUAUAAUUUAAUCACAAUAUAAUUACUGGAGAAUUAGCAGUGGUUAAGCUAAAGGUCACAGUUGGCUGCAUACUUUAUAUCCUGGUCACAGUGAAGACCUAAAACUUGGUUUUAUUCCUGGAUACAUAAACAGAUUAGACUUGGUAGGAGUCAUUAGAAAAUCAAGAAGAAUAUAUUGUAGAUGUAUUAGAUAUUUUAUUCAUAAUAAUAUCAUUUUGUAUGAUCUUAAUUAUGGAUGUAAAUAAACAUGAAGAUGCAAAGGCGUACAUGUAUGCCCUUGGCCAAGAGCAAAUGAACUUUUUAAAAUGAUACAUUUU